This 1437-nucleotide long non-coding RNA is filed under the name Equus caballus (horse). Its description in RNAcentral is "lncRNA (ENSECAG00000051907.1)". The record is from RNAcentral. Lineage: Eukaryota; Metazoa; Chordata; Mammalia; Perissodactyla; Equidae.
CAAUGCAGCCGCAAGCCAAGCAAUACUGGCAUCCUCCAGAAGCUGGAAGGGGCAAGGAAUGGACAGGAUUCCCCACCAGAGCCUCUGAGGGACCGCAGCCCUACCAACACCUUGAUUCCAGCCCAGUGAUACAGAUUUUGGACUUCUGGCCUUCGACACUUUCUCACAGCAGUCCUUUGAGGCAGCUGCUCCUCUUAUCUCCAUGUCCCAGCAAGGAGAGCCGCUCUAAAGAAGGUUGUAACCUGCCCAGAGUCACACAGCGAGUGAGCACUGGAGACGGAGUCUGAACUCGAGCCCCCUGAUUCCGUAACCAUUCCAACCCUGCUGCUGAAGAAAUGUUGGCACGUGCUCCUAGUUCCUUCUCUAAGAUAAGUUAUUAAGUAAAACAAUUGUAUAGUAUUGACAUCUGUAAUCGGAGAAACCCAGGUCCUUCAACCUCCUCAAGAACACUCCCUUCACAGAUCAAAAGAUGAUUGGCUCCUAAGUGUCAGAUGCUGAGCUGAGCACCAAGGCCGCAAAGAACAAGUGGUUGCAAGUCUGGCCAUUAUUUGAUAUCCAGAAAUAAGGCUGAAAGGAAGUCAUCUCUAUUUUUGCUGCUAGGGUGAGAGAUGUGGCUGCUCAGGAGAAUUGAAUGAGAGAGAGAACACUGAAGGAAUGUUUGGAGAGAAUGCUGAUGCCUCUGGACUGCGCCCAGUUCUAAACAAGGAUUAACACCAACCAUGCAUGCAUCUGCUAUGAACCCAAACGAUCUCUUAAAGCUGUUGCAUCUUUCCUCCCAUUCUUUGAGGACCAAAAAACGAAUAAAAAAUGUGUACUUUACAACCAAGAGAUUGUGUAAAACUCAUGCAAUUGGCAUAUCCUCUGUAAAAUUUAAGCUACUGAUCUACCAUUAGUGGAACAUAUGUUUUGAGUUAUUUUCUGAGUUAGGGAAUGAAUUUAGGUCACACCUCUACUGGGUUCUUUUUUGUUCAUUGAAUAAUAUAUACAUGUUUAUAAAUGUGCUUUUUAUGUAUAUGUUAUGAGUAUGUUUUCUAGAUAUGUGUUAAAAUUUAUUUAUUACAUAAGCCAGCCAUGGUGAUCUAGUGGUUAAUAUUCAGCAUUCUCACCACCAGGGCCUGGGUUCUUUUCCCAGUCAGGGAACCUUACCACCCUUCUGUCGGUUGUCAUACUGUACUGACUGUGUGCUGCUGUGAUGCUGAAAGCUAUGUCACUGGUAUGUCAAAUACCAGCAACGUCACCCAUAUUGGACAGGUUUCAAUGGAGCUUCCAGACUGAGACAAACUAGGAAGAAUGACCUGGCCACCCACUUCUGAAAAAAUUGGGCAUGAAAACCCUAUGAAUAGUCACAGAGUAUUGUCUGCUACAACAUCGGAAGGUGAGAGGAUGGUGCAAAAAGACUGGGCAGGGUUCUGCCCUGAUGUAUGUAGGUCAUGAGGA